UGGGGUUGCCUAGCAACUUGCUAACUUGUAUAAACUCAGCUUUCCCUCAACAGAAAGAAAUGAAGGAAAACCAAGUCAGUGAAAGACAAUCUUUAUUGUUUCAGGAGUAAAUCUGUAUGUGGCUUUUGUCAAACACUUAAAUGGAUAUAAACGCAGCAACUUGUUUGAAAAGAUGCACAAUUAACCUCCCGGAAGAGUUGCUACUUGCCUUUUCAAGUUGUCAACCGACACACAUUUGAUAUUCUCUUAGAUGUUAUAGUAACGUAACGUAUAAACUCAAGGCUUUUUAUUCUUUGUGAUAAGUCCUGUUUUACGACGUCAGAAAACAGGAACCAGCAUUCUAAUUAGAUUUACUACAUGGAGAUAUGGUUCAAAUAGGACUAUUAGAGUUCAUUGAACACUAAAACUAUGAAACAAUUACUUUUUAUAUUAAAAAGACCAUGGAUUUAACUUACAAAAAUCCAAAUGCAGGAUAGUAAUUUUUGUUUACUUUUUUAACCAAACUGAAUUUUUUGAAAGACUAUCGCAGGUGUUCAAAAAGAAAGAAGCCGUUUUAUCUAAUAGUGUAAGUAGAUGUCACUCAUGGAAAAUCUACUAGUUUUAGGGUUAAGAUAUCUCCUCUCCUUGGUUAGGGAAGAAGAAAGCCCUUCGCCAUUGUGGAAUGACACCCUGGCUUUAAGCUCCACAUCACGCUUCUUUUGAGAAUUAUAUUUGGUAGUUACAAUUACAGAAACUAAUUAGUUUGUCAGUUCGCAGAUAGAUUUAGCACAGUACUCAUCACUCUGGGUAGAUAAGAUGUUCUUUCACAGCGGAUGAAUGGUCUGGAACACUGUAAGAUACUGAUCUUUACAACUGUUUAAUCAGUUUUAUUUUUGUACAGUAUUAGUGACCUAAGUUAUUUUGCUGUCCCGUUUUUUGUAAAUCAAAUGAAAUUAUAAAAGAGGAUUCUGACCGUAGGUAUUUUGUACAUAUGUAUAUAUGUUGUCCAAAUAAAAAUAAUAAAUGAU
RNAcentral lists this long non-coding RNA (1007 nucleotides) under Mus musculus (house mouse). Its description in RNAcentral is "long non-coding RNA chr19:23167112-23168119". Lineage: Eukaryota; Metazoa; Chordata; Mammalia; Rodentia; Muridae. The record is from RNAcentral.